This 242-nucleotide unclassified non-coding RNA is filed under the name uncultured Helotiales. Its description in RNAcentral is "sequence contains ITS2". The stretch from base 1 to 52 matches the Rfam family "5.8S ribosomal RNA", at positions 103 to 154 of the family's 154-position model. Lineage: Eukaryota; Fungi; Ascomycota; Leotiomycetes; Helotiales. The record is from RNAcentral.
AACGCACAUUGCGCCCCGUGGUAUUCCGCGGGGCAUGCCUGUUCGAGCGUCAUUUCAACCCAUCAAGCUUCGGCUUGGUCUUGGGGCCUGCGAUUCCGCAGCCUCUAAACCCAGUGGCGGUGCCUCCGAGCUCUAAGCGUAGUAAUUCUUCUCGCUAUAGGGUCUCGGUGGUGUCUUGCCAGUAACCCCCAAUUUUUUUUAAGGUUGACCUCGGAUCAGGUAGGGAUACCCGCUGAACUUAA